UCCGGAACACAUACACACACCCUGCUCUGGGAUCCCUUGUGAGGCUGCCCUCAUGGAGUUCCCCCUGGCCCAGAUAUGUCCCCAAGGGAGUCACGAAGCCCCCAUCCCAACCUUCAGCACCUUCCAGAUCACAGACAUGACCCGCAGGAGCUGCCAGAACCUGGGCUACACUGCGGCAUCUCCCCAGGCCCCGGAGGCUGCCUCCAACACAGGGAAUGCUGAGAGGGCAGAGGAGGUGCCUGGAGAAGGAAGCCUGUUCCUGCAGGCCGAGACCCGGGCUUGGUUCCAGAAGACCCAGGCCCACUGGCUCCUGCAGCACGGGGCAGCCCCUGCCUGGUUCCAUGGCUUCAUCACCCGGAGGUGAGUCAUGGAGGAGGAAAUUGGCCCAGACAGGGGCAGGGCAAGUCCUGGGUCUGGGUCCUGCCACCUGCCAGGAAUAGAUGAAGGCUCCCACUUCUACCAGUCUGGAGUAGAUGGAGGCGCCCACUCCAGGCUCCCACUCCCAGAGUUUUCCUAGCCUUUCACUGAGGCAUCUCUCCAGGGGAGAUCAUUGGAGAGGUUCCAGUCCAGCCCUCUGUGUACCUCAGCUUCCCCUCUCUAGGCCCCAUUAUCCUCCUGUCCCUAAGGCCUCGAAUGCUGGUAUUUUCCACCUCUCUCUCCCUCCAGGCUUACUCCAUCUUUAUCUCCCAGCCCUCUCUUCUUCCACCCUUGCAGAAUCUCCCUCCUCCAUUUCUCAGCCUCAUUUCUCCCUAACUCUUUGUUCACCUCCUCAGUUCAGCUUUGACUUCUGAAAUCUGGAAGUCCAACUACUUUCCCAUCCCUGUUGCUGCAGUAGCAGCCCCUGCAGGCUGCCCUUUCAGGAUGAGGCCAGGGGAGGAUGCGGGGGUCUCCUGAAUGGG
This 899-nucleotide small RNA is filed under the name Pan troglodytes (chimpanzee). RNAcentral's name for it is "processed transcript". Lineage: Eukaryota; Metazoa; Chordata; Mammalia; Primates; Hominidae. The record is from RNAcentral.